CAGCGUUGUGUAGUGGGCCGGAGGUAACGCUCGGACGGACGGCAGUUUCCUGCCAGGACGGUGUUCCAUGGAUCAGAAUCGAAGCCGCCGUCUGAUCCGUGGAUCGGGAAGUUUGCUUUUCCGUCUGGCCGCCCCAGAGUCGAAUUGAAUGGAGGGUCCAGCGUCGUGUCUUGCAAAGCGAGUGGCGUUUUGAAGGCGACGACGGGGAGAUAGAGGUCUGGAGCGGCGGCGGCGAUCCACCAUGGAGUUUUUGAUGCAACCAAUAGGCAGAUCUGCUCUGCUUGAGGAGGUAGGAGAGGGGUUGGUGCCUGCGCCUCUAGUUGCGGAUGACGGUGUGCCGGAGCAGCAGAGGCUGCCGGAACAGUAGAUGGCGGCGGAGAGCGGCGAAGCACAGAUCUUGUGAGCGGCGGAGGCCACAGCGGGCAGAAGGGAUCUGACGUCCGAGGCUCUGAGCUCUCGACGGGGAAGAUGAAUCCCCAGGUACCCCGAUGGAAUAAGAGACUGAGGAUUGGUGCUGCUGCACCAAGCAGGACACCUUGCUCAACUCGAAUCAGUGUGUUUCAGAAGGCUGUUAGGAAUUUGAGAGAGGAUGGGAAAUGCUGCUGGACAAAUACAAGAUGAGAACACAUCCUUACAUGACAGCCUUUUGAGAUUAGGCAGAAAUGCUGCUGGGCAUCUAAAUGAUCAGCUUGCUGCAACUUCAAGCAGAACUGGAUGUGAAAUAUCAGAUGGAGAGAGAAUCCCGUGCAUCGGCAUUGAAUGUGCAGAUGGGUUUGGUUGAAGGGAUUAUUGACAUCUCUGACAGUGAACGCAACGAUGAAGUUAAUUUUGAAGAGUGGUCUGAUCCUGAGCAUGCUAAACUGGUUGAGACAGAUAGAAGGUUGAGAGAGCAA
Long non-coding RNA from Triticum dicoccoides, 893 nucleotides. RefSeq lists it as uncharacterized. NCBI's taxonomy places the organism in Eukaryota, Viridiplantae, Streptophyta, Magnoliopsida, Poales, Poaceae. The transcript is spliced from 4 exons. The record is from RefSeq and is a predicted model, not a curated record.